CCUACGGGAGGCAGCAGUGAGGAAUAUUGGUCAAUGGACGGAAGGCUGAACCAGCCAAGCCGCGUGCGGGAGGAAGGCGCUGUGAGUUGCAGACCUCUUUUGCAGGGGGACAAAAGGACGGACGCGUCCGGUCCUGAGGGUACCCGGCGAAUAAGCAUCGGCUAACUCCGUGCCAGCAGCCGCGGUAAUACGGAGGAUGCGAGCGUUAUCCGGAUUCAUUGGGUUUAAAGGGUGCGUAGGCGGGCCGUUAAGUUGGCGGUGAAAUCCCGGGGCUCAACCUCGGCAUUGCCUCUGAUACUGGUCGGCUAGAGAGUGGUUGAGGUAUGCGGAAUGUGUGGUGUAGCGGUGAAAUGCUUAGAGAU
This 362-nucleotide ribosomal RNA is filed under the name uncultured bacterium. RNAcentral's name for it is "partial 16S ribosomal RNA". It matches the Rfam family "Bacterial small subunit ribosomal RNA", at positions 338 to 697 of the family's 1533-position model. The record is from RNAcentral.